AGGGUGACAGUAAAUUGCCGGAUGCUCAAGCUUCUCAUGAAAAAACGAUUACCUCCCUAUUGCCGGCAUUGGCAGGCGCCAAUGUGAUCUACGGCUU
RNAcentral lists this non-coding RNA (97 nucleotides) under Candidatus Cryptoclostridium obscurum. RNAcentral describes it as "Pyrrolysine insertion sequence mttB". It matches the Rfam family "Pyrrolysine insertion sequence mttB". The record is from RNAcentral. Lineage: Bacteria; Bacillati; Bacillota; Clostridia.